This is a long non-coding RNA of Bos taurus (domestic cattle), 1187 nucleotides long. The record is from Ensembl. Lineage: Eukaryota; Metazoa; Chordata; Mammalia; Artiodactyla; Bovidae.
AUCUGGGUCUUUACAGUGUGUGUGUGUGUGUGUACCUGGGUCUUUACAAUGUGUGUGUGUGUGUGUGAGUGUGUAUCUGGGUCUUUACAAUGUGUGUGUGUGUGUAUCUGGGUCUUUACAGUGUGUGUGUGUGUGUGUGUGUGUGUGUGUACCUGGGUCUUUACAAUGUGUGUGUGUGUGUGUGUAUGAGUGUGUACCUGGGUCUUUACAAUGUGUGUGUGUGUGUGUGUGUGUGUGUGUGUGUGUAUCUGGAGUGUGUGUGUGUCCUAAGUCUUUAUUCCUAUGGAAUUCAGGUUCGUAUUGGUCUUCAGUUUGUUGGGUUGCCAUUUCUCACUGUCACUAUUAGACGUGGGAGAUCUGAGAGGCGCUCAAUCAGUCCUCUGGAUUCUAGGCAUGGCCUUCUUGCCCACCCUCCCUUUUCUAGAUUCAUCACCCUACCUGGUACACUUGAUCCCCUCUCUACAUUUGAGUUAAGCAAUACACAGAGCUCAAAAUGACCAGAAGGAAGACUACUUGUGACUUCAAGGAACCACAUCUGUGUUCCCUCCAGGCCCACUGAACACAAAGUCGAGAGAGGGAAAGCAAAAAUUCCUCCAGGAGGUUAUUUGGAAUCACAGAAGAGCCACCCUCAUUUCCACUGCUGGGUCCCCAGGUCUCUGCAUCCAGGCUGUGAGAGAGGCGGAGCCACUGAUUUUAAACUUACACUGCAUCCCGCAUGUCAGUAACCCAAGUCGUGGUCUCCCAGCUGGCACUGGAGGUCUCUAUCGACUCAUCUGCUUCUGAGCGAUGGGACUCACUGUGUGUCCAGUGCUUCCAUGGGUGAGACCACUUCUCUGCGCCUUUCACCAAAAAAGGAAAAUAGGCUAUGUGGGGGAUAGCAGAGUGAUGAACAAGCAAGUACAAAAAUGACGAGGCUGGCAGAAGCACUACAGGCGGGGAAGGCAAGUCCAUAGCAGGAAUGCACAUUUAUUACCAAGAGGCAAUAGAUAACUGAUCCUUUAUGAAGCAAGGGGACAGGGCACUCAACCUGCCAAUAGAUAGCUAGCUGGUCCCUGAAGGGUGGUGGUUCUCAAAUUUUUUGAUGUCAGGAUCUUUUUACACUCUUUAAAAUUAUUGAAAGGUUAUACUCUUAAAAAUUGUAAACGGUUUUUGUUGAUGUGGGUUAUAUCUAUUUUACUGGAUUAGAA